UACAGAGGUGGCAAGCGUUGUUCGGAAUUACUGGGCGUAAAGGGCGCGUAGGCGGUCUUGUAAGUCUUGUGUGAAAUCCCUCGGCUCAACUGAGGAACUGCACGGGAUACUGCGAGACUUGAGUUCGGGAGAGGGAAGCGGAAUUCCGGGUGUAGCGGUGAAAUGCGUAGAUAUCCGGAGGAACACCGGUGGCGAAGGCGGCUUCCUGGACCGAUCACUGACGCUGAGGCGCGAAAGCUAGGGGAGCAAACGGG
Molecule: ribosomal RNA, 254 nt
Filed under: uncultured bacterium
Lineage: Bacteria
Description: partial 16S ribosomal RNA
Rfam family: Bacterial small subunit ribosomal RNA
Source: RNAcentral